GGGCCUUGGCGGCUGCUAUACAUGCAGUCGAGCGGACAGAUGGGAGCUUGCUCCCUGAUGUUAGCGGCGGACGGGUGAGUAACACGUGGGUAACCUGCCUGUAAGACUGGGAUAACUCCGGGAAACCGGGGCUAAUACCGGAUGCUUGUUUGAACCGCAUGGUUCAGACAUAAAAGGUGGCUUCGGCUACCACUUACAGAUGGACCCGCGGCGCAUUAGCUAGUUGGUGAGGUAACGGCUCACCAAGGCAACGAUGCGUAGCCGACCUGAGAGGGUGAUCGGCCACACUGGGACUGAGACACGGCCCAGACUCCUACGGGAGGCAGCAGUAGGGAAUCUUCCGCAAUGGACGAAAGUCUGACGGAGCAACGCCGCGUGAGUGAUGAAGGUUUUCGGAUCGUAAAGCUCUGUUGUUAGGGAAGAACAAGUGCCGUUCAAAUAGGGCGGCACCUUGACGGUACCUAACCAGAAAGCCACGGCUAACUACGUGCCAGCAGCCGCGGUAAUACGUAGGUGGCAAGCGUUGUCCGGAAUUAUUGGGCGUAGAGGGCUCGCAGGCGGGUUUCUUAAGUCUGAUGUGAAAGCCCCCCGGCUCAACCGGGGAAGGGUCAUUGGAAACUGGGAACUUCGAUGCAAAAAAAGAGGUCGCAUCCCCACGCGUAACGGUUCAAAUGCUAAAGAU
This 682-nucleotide ribosomal RNA is filed under the name Bacillus amyloliquefaciens. RNAcentral describes it as "bacterial SSU rRNA". It matches the Rfam family "Bacterial small subunit ribosomal RNA", at positions 31 to 695 of the family's 1533-position model. The record is from RNAcentral. Lineage: Bacteria; Bacillati; Bacillota; Bacilli; Caryophanales; Bacillaceae.